GACGAACGCUGGCGGCGUGCCUAAUACAUGCAAGUCGAGCGAAGUUUUUCUGGUGCUUGCACUCGAAAAACUUAGCGGCGAACGGGUGAGUCACACGUAAAGAACCUGCCUCAUAGACUGGGACCACUAUUGGAAACGAUAGCUAAUACCGGAUAACAGCAUUAACUGCAUGGUUGAUGUUUAAAAGUUGGUUUUGCUAACACUAUGAGAUGGCUUUGCGGUGCAUUAGCUAGUUGGUGGGGUAAAGGCCUACCAAGGCGACGAUGCAUAGCCGACCUGAGAGGGUGAUCGGCCACACUGGGACUGAGACACGGCCCAGACUCCUACGGGAGGCAGCAGUAGGGAAUCUUCCGCAAUGGGCGAAAGCCUGACGGAGCAACGCCGCGUGAGUGAAGAAGGUUUUCGGUUCGUAAAGCUCUGUUGUUAGGGAAGAAUGAUUGUGUAGUAACUAUACACAGUAGAGACGGUACCUAACCAGAAAGCCACGGCUAACUACGUG
RNAcentral lists this ribosomal RNA (499 nucleotides) under uncultured bacterium. Its description in RNAcentral is "partial 16S ribosomal RNA". It matches the Rfam family "Bacterial small subunit ribosomal RNA", at positions 28 to 507 of the family's 1533-position model. The record is from RNAcentral.